RNAcentral lists this ribosomal RNA (112 nucleotides) under uncultured eukaryote. Its description in RNAcentral is "partial small subunit ribosomal RNA". It matches the Rfam family "Eukaryotic small subunit ribosomal RNA", at positions 1676 to 1785 of the family's 1831-position model. The record is from RNAcentral.
UCGCUACUACCGAUUGAAUGGCUUAGUGAGCUCCAUGGACUGUUUUGUGGUAGGGGGUCUCUCUUACUACUAUACGGGAAGUGGAUCAAACUUGAUCAUUUAGAGGAAGUAA